RNAcentral lists this ribosomal RNA (253 nucleotides) under uncultured bacterium. RNAcentral's name for it is "partial 16S ribosomal RNA". It matches the Rfam family "Bacterial small subunit ribosomal RNA", at positions 524 to 776 of the family's 1533-position model. The record is from RNAcentral.
GACGAACCGUGCAAACGUUGUUCGGAAUCACUGGGCUUAAAGGGCGCGUAGGCGGGGCUUCAAGUCCGGGGUGAAAGCCCCCAGCUUAACUGGGGAAGUGCCUUGGAUACUGAAGCUCUCGAGGGAGGUAGGGGCGUGCGGAACUUCCGGUGGAGCGGUGAAAUGCGUAGAUAUCGAAAGGAACACCGAUGGCGAAAGCAGCGCGCUGGACCUCUUCUGACGCUGAGGCGCGAAAGCUAGGGGAGCAAACGGG